RNA transcript from Aricia agestis (brown argus), 613 nucleotides. RefSeq lists it as uncharacterized. The transcript is spliced from 6 exons. NCBI's taxonomy places the organism in Eukaryota, Metazoa, Arthropoda, Insecta, Lepidoptera, Lycaenidae. The record is from RefSeq and is a predicted model, not a curated record.
AGUCUCAGUUCUCAGUGAACUCCAGUCUACGUCGUACUACGCUCGCGCCACGCUGUGUUUACAAACGUUCUAAAUACAAACAUUCAAAAUGGCCGUCAGCAGAUUGUCGAUUAUCAAAUUCUUGGAGCUGGCGCUGACAUGCGCGUGCGUCGCUCUGCACUACCAGAGCUACAAUGCUGAUGCCGACAUCGGCAUGCUGGUCACCGGCACCUUCAUCGGCUACCUCAUCAUCUUCGCCGGGGCUGCUGCUGGUUACGUGAUGCAGACUCCCACACACAAACGUAUAGACAUCUUCUACACCCUGGUGGGAGUCGCGCUCUUCGUCGCCAGCGGCGCUGUCAUCAUUGACAGAUAUCAACACGCCGGUAAAGGCCAAACGAGAGAUUACAACCUGGCCAAGGCUUCCCUGGCCAUCAUCAACGGCGCCAUCAUGCUGGUGGACGCCGUGUUGACACAGCGCGGCGGCUAGAUGGCGCUAACACGACUUUACAUUCUACCCACAGCUUGCGUGGUUUAAUACUUUGGUACUUUUAUAAUUUAAUACGAUGUAUGGCCGGUUUCUCAGGGUUAAUGAUAGAAGUUUAACAGAUAAGGUGAUCAAAUAUAUCGCCUU